UGGGGAAUCUUGCGCAAUGGACGAAAGUCUGACGCAGCGAUCUCGCGUGAAGGAUGAAGCUUUGCGGAGUGUAAACUUCUUUUUCUGGGAGAAGACAACUGACAGUAUCUCAGGAAUAAGGGACGGCUAACUACGUGCCAGCAGCCGCGGUAAUACGUAGGUCCCAAGCGUUAUCCGGAUUUACUGGGCGUAAAGCGUCCGUCGCCGGCAAUGUAAGUCUGUUUUCAAAAACCGGAGCUCAACUUCGGGAAGGGAAUGGAUACUGCAAUGCUAGAGAAUGAUAGAGGCAUGUAGAAUUUCAGGUGGAGGGGUGAAAUCCGUUGAUAUCUGAAGGAAUACCGAAAGCGAAGGCAGCAUGCUAUAUCUUUUCUGACGGUCAAGGACGAAAGUAUUGGGAGCGAACGGGAUUAGAUACCCAAGUAG
This 423-nucleotide ribosomal RNA is filed under the name uncultured bacterium. RNAcentral's name for it is "bacterial SSU rRNA". It matches the Rfam family "Bacterial small subunit ribosomal RNA", at positions 355 to 793 of the family's 1533-position model. The record is from RNAcentral.